UACGGGGGGGGCAAGCGUUGUUCGGAAUUACUGGGCGUAAAGGGCGCGUAGGCGGCCUCGUAAGUCCUGUGUGAAAUCCCCCGGCUCAACUGGGGAACUGCACAGGAAACUGCGAGGCUUGAGUUCGGGAGAGGGAAGCGGAAUUCCGGGUGUAGCGGUGAAAUGCGUAGAUAUCCGGAGGAACACCGGUGGCGAAGGCGGCUUCCUGGACCGACACUGACGCUGAGGCGCGAAAGCAUGGGGAGCGAACAGG
This 253-nucleotide ribosomal RNA is filed under the name uncultured bacterium. RNAcentral describes it as "partial 16S ribosomal RNA". It matches the Rfam family "Bacterial small subunit ribosomal RNA", at positions 524 to 776 of the family's 1533-position model. The record is from RNAcentral.